UCGAACGAAGUCAACCAGUGGCAACACUGGGGGAAGGCUUAGUGGCGAACGGGUGAGUAACACGUGAGGAACCUGCCCCGAAGACCGGGAUAACCCUCCGAAAGGAGAGCUAAUACCGGAUGCCCUCAUGAGGUCGCAUGGCCAUAUGAGGAAAUGGAUUCCGCUUCGGGAGGGCCUCGCGGCCUAUCAGCUUGUUGGUGAGGUAACGGCUCACCAAGGCGACGACGGGUAGCUGGUCUGAGAGGACGAUCAGCCACACUGGGACUGAGACACGGCCCAGACUCCUACGGGAGGCAGCAGUGGGGAAUCUUGCGCAAUGGGCGAAAGCCUGACGCAGCAACGCCGCGUGCGGGAUGAAGGCCUUCGGGUUGUAAACCGCUUUCAGUGGGGACGAAAACAGACGGUACCCACAGAAGAAGCCCCGGCCAACUACGUGCCAGCAGCCGCGGUAACACGUAGGGGGCAAGCGUUG
RNAcentral lists this ribosomal RNA (472 nucleotides) under uncultured bacterium. RNAcentral's name for it is "bacterial SSU rRNA". It matches the Rfam family "Bacterial small subunit ribosomal RNA", at positions 62 to 543 of the family's 1533-position model. The record is from RNAcentral.